UGGUGGUGCCCUUCCGUCAAUUCCUUUAAGUUUCAGCCUUGCGACCAUACUCCCCCCGGAACCCAAAAACUUUGAUUUCUCAUAANUUGUCAAUCCUUACUAUGUCUGGACCUGUUAAGUUUCCCCGUGUUGAGUCAAAUUAAGCCGCAGGCUCCACUCCUAGUGGUGCCCUUCCGUCAAUUCCUUUAAGUUUUAGCCUUGCGACCAUACUCCCCUCGGAACCCAAAAACUUUGAUUUCUCAUAAGGUGCCGGCGGAGUCCUAAAAGACACAUCCGCCGAUCCCUGGUCGGUAUCGUUUAUGGUUGAGACUAGGAUGGUAUCUGAUCGUCUUCGAGCCCCCAACUUUCGUUCUUGAUUAAUGAAAACAUCCUUGGCAAAUGCUUUCGCAGUUGUUCGUCUUUCAUAAAUCCAAGA
This 415-nucleotide long non-coding RNA is filed under the name Solanum pimpinellifolium. RNAcentral's name for it is "long non-coding RNA (SPIM_LNC000208)". Lineage: Eukaryota; Viridiplantae; Streptophyta; Magnoliopsida; Solanales; Solanaceae. The record is from RNAcentral.